AUGCUCUUCCCCUCGGGGCUUCGGAGCCGGAGCAUUUGUCGACAGUUCCUGCCUCUUUACCCGGCUGCCGGCGCGAGGGUCCCGCCACCUCCAGGAGCCGCCCCCACCCCGCGCCCCGCAGCCCGCGCCGCCCCGUGCGGCCCGCGGUCCUCCUCACCUAUCAGAUUUCCUGUGCGCACCGCCGCGCGCUCCUCCCACCUCUUAAACGCGGAGCGGAGCGGGGCGGAAAGCCAUCCUCGGCCUGGACCCAGCGCCUCCGGGGACCUGCUGCCCGCCCCCUGCGUCGGCGGGCCGGGAUGCGGCUCUGAGCCCGCGGCGGCUUCCAGCCCGCCCGUGGCUGCCCGGGGCUGCCCCACGCACGUGAUUCCUGACAGAAUCAUCAUUUUUGGUAAACAAACCAAGCCCAGAACCUGAUAAGUGUGGACCAUCCUAUGCUGACAGUUCCUUGAAACAAAUUUCCUCUUGGCAUUUACACUGUGGCUUCAACUUUCAAACCAGAGCUUCCUCUUAGCCAGCAAAAAGUGAGUUAUACGCUUUCUUAAUGUUAUAACGUUACCAUGGAUGAUCCCGAACUCGUGGAGGAUAGCAGAGACGGGUGGGCAGAAGAGGAAAGAAUCAGAUCGGAGACUGUAAAAAGUCACGUUAAAAACAUAAUAAUUCUGGCAGAGACGGAAUUCGAAGGUACUUGUGCAAAUCGGAACACUAGACUUGCUUCUUUUUGGGAAGGGAAUGCCGCUUCAUUAGAUCAGGGAAGAAUGCAGGCAGCCCGUGCGUUUAGUCCACAACGUGUGCUUUCCAGACUCGCAGCCUGUCUAUUUGCACUUCGUCAUGGAGUCAUAGAAGGGCAGAGCUGGAGGACCCGGUGAGGGGCCUGGUCCCAUCUCCUUACAGACAGGAAAUCCGAGACCCCCAUACACCAACAGCUGCUGGCUGCAGAGCCAGGACCAAUGCCCAGAAUCUCUGAGCUUUUUAUCUUACACCACAAAGUGACAGGUGCUAGCAGAUGUCACACCUCUGGGCUUAACUGUUUAAGCACGGCCCUGGACUUCCGUAUUCAGCAAGGUUCUAGAGUUUCCAAAACACGGGUCUCCUCUCCCAUCUCAGCUUCCUAGCAUAAAACUAGACACAUCCUCAUGCUUUAGAGGUCUAUUCA
This 1153-nucleotide long non-coding RNA is filed under the name Callithrix jacchus (white-tufted-ear marmoset). Its description in RNAcentral is "lncRNA (ENSCJAG00000074090.1)". The record is from RNAcentral. Lineage: Eukaryota; Metazoa; Chordata; Mammalia; Primates; Cebidae.